CUCUCUCUCUCUCUCUCUCUCUCUAAUGAUUUGUAGCGCCUCUCUCUUUCCACGUCUCCAUAACUUUUGGAGAAGUUUCUUAAACAAUUCGAUCUCGUUUAUCUCAGGAAUUUGGUAAAAGUUUUAUGUCCAUAAGGUCUCAGAGGUGGAUGUCUCUGCAAACUGUAAGAAAAAUCACCAAACGAUUUUUUGGUGUCCAUAAUAACGAGUCCAUUUAAAUAUAUCCAUUCAGAAAACUUUUUACUGAUUCAUAUUCAUUCUAUAUACCAUGUCCAUAAUAACAGGAGAUUCGAUUAACCGUGGUUUGUAAAGAAACCAAAGUUUCAUGUCCAUAAGGUCUUGGAAGUGGAGGUCUCUUCAAACUGAAAGAAAAAUCAACAAACAAUUUUUUGGUGUCCAUAAUAACGAGUCCAUUUAAAUAUAUCCAUUCAGAAACUUUUCUAUUGAUCUAUAUCCAUUCUAUAUACCAUGUCAAUAAUAACAGGAGAUUCGAUUAACUGUGUUUUGUAAAGAAACCAAAGUUCCAUGUCCAUAAGGUUUUGAAGGUAGAGGUCUCUGCAAACCGAAAGAAAAAUCAACAAACAAUGUUUUGGUGUCCAUAAUAACGAGUCCAUUUAAAUAUAUCUAUUCGGAAACCUUUUUACUGCUCUAUAUCCAUUCUGUAUACCAUGUCCAUAAUAACAGGAAAUUCGAUUAACCGGAAUCUCGAUGCUACAUAGAUGAAACGAGUUUGACACAUGAGAGAGAGCAAAAAUCAAAUCAAGCCGCCAUUGUUGAAGAAGAAGAAGUUUCUUAGAUAACUAAAUCUCAAAUUUAUGUCAAAACAAAUA
Molecule: small RNA, 830 nt
Filed under: Arabidopsis thaliana (thale cress)
Lineage: Eukaryota; Viridiplantae; Streptophyta; Magnoliopsida; Brassicales; Brassicaceae
Description: ATSL027790
Source: RNAcentral